RNAcentral lists this ribosomal RNA (261 nucleotides) under uncultured soil bacterium. RNAcentral's name for it is "partial 16S ribosomal RNA". It matches the Rfam family "Bacterial small subunit ribosomal RNA", at positions 26 to 279 of the family's 1533-position model. The record is from RNAcentral.
AGGACGAACGCUGGCGGCGUGCUUAACACAUGCAAGUCGAACGGUGAUCUCGGUGCUUGCACCGGGUGAUCAGUGGCGAACGGGUGAGUAACACGUGAGUAACCUGCCCCCGACUCUGGGAUAACCCCGGGAAAUCGGAGCUAAUACCGGAUACGAGACGCACAGGCAUCUGUAGCGUCUGGAAAGAUUUUAUCGACCGAAGGGAUGACGCCCGACGUAGGGAUUAGCUAGUUGGUGAGGUAAGCUCACCGAAGGCGACGA